GCAUUUGGAGCCGGAGGUGAAUCCAUCUUCAAAUGCUGGAAGUGGUUUGAGCUUGUUUUGGUGGAGGGGGGGAAGGCUAUCUCGUCGACUAUUCAACUGGAAGCUAUUGCCCCAAUCAUUGGCGCGCAAAGCUGCCCGACAAGGUGGAUGUAAGAAGAUACCAGACAUGUUAUAUCCGGACAAUUCAGACUUUGCCAAGAGAAAUAAGUGCAUAGCUUGGAGGGCUGCUGUUGAAACUUCAAGAACCGUGGAGCAACUUGCUCUCCAGGUUAGAGAUCUUGAUGCUCAUAUUAGAUGGGAUGAUAUUGGAAACACCAAUAUCCUUGCAAUUAUAGACAAGGAAUUUCAAAAAGCUGUCAGAUCAUUCAAGAAAG
This 374-nucleotide unclassified non-coding RNA is filed under the name Hevea brasiliensis (rubber tree). The record is from RNAcentral. Lineage: Eukaryota; Viridiplantae; Streptophyta; Magnoliopsida; Malpighiales; Euphorbiaceae.